ACGAUUGACGGAGCGAAGCGACGUCAAAGCGUAUACAAAGUCGAGUCGGUUUAAGGAUACGUUCGUUGGGUAGGGGAGCGUUCUGUAAGCCUGUGAAGGUGGCCUGUGAGGGUUGCUGGAGGUAUCAGAAGUGCGAAUGCUGACAUAAGUAACGAUAAAGCGGGUGAAAAGCCCGCUCGCCGGAAGACCAAGGGUUCCUGUCCAACGUUAAUCGGGGCAGGGUGAGUCGACCCCUAAGGCGAGGCCGAAAGGCGUAGUCGAUGGGAAACAGGUUAAUAUUCCUGUACUUGGUGUUACUGCGAAGGGGGGACGGAGAAGGCUAUGUUGGCCGGGCGACGGUUGUCCCGGUUUAAGCGUGUAGGCUGGUUUUCCAGGCAAAUCCGGAAAAUCAAGGCUGAGGCGUGAUGACGAGGCACUACGGUGCUGAAGCAACAAAUGCCCUGCUUCCAGGAAAAGCCUCUAAGCAUCAGGUAACAUCAAAUCGUACCCCAAACCGACACAGGUGGUCAGGUAGAGAAUACCAAGGCGCUUGAGAGAACUCGGGUGAAGGAACUAGGCAAAAUGGUGCCGUAACUUCGGGAGAAGGCACGCUGACACGUAGGUGAAGUGAUUUACUCAUGGAGCUGAAGUCAGUCGAAGAUACCAGCUGGCUGCAACUGUUUAUUAAAAACACAGCACUGUGCAAACACGAAAGUGGACGUAUACGGUGUGACGCCUGCCCGGUGCCGGAAGGUUAAUUGAUGGGGUCAGCGCAAGCGAAGCUCCUGAUCGAAGCCCCGGUAAACGGCGGCCGUAACUAUAACGGUCCUAAGGUAGCGAAAUUCCUUGUCGGGUAAGUUCCGACCUGCACGAAUGGCGUAAUGAUGGCCAGGCUGUCUCCACCCGAGACUCAGUGAAAUUGAACUCGCUGUGAAGAUGCAGUGUACCCGCGGCAAGACGGAAAGACCCCGUGAACCUUUACUAUAGCUUGACACUGAACAUUGAGCCUUGAUGUGUAGGAUAGGUGGGAGGCUUUGAAGUGUGGACGCCAGUCUGCAUGGAGCCGACCUUGAAAUACCACCCUUUAAUGUUUGAUGUUCUAACGUGGACCCGUAAUCCGGGUUGCGGACAGUGUCUGGUGGGUAGUUUGACUGGGGCGGUCUCCUCCUAAAGAGUAACGGAGGAGCACGAAGGUUGGCUAAUCCUGGUCGGACAUCAGGAGGUUAGUGCAAUGGCAUAAGCCAGCUUGACUGCGAGCGUGACGGCGCGAGCAGGUGCGAAAGCAGGUCAUAGUGAUCCGGUGGUUCUGAAUGGAAGGGCCAUCGCUCAACGGAUAAAAGGUACUCCGGGGAUAACAGGCUGAUACCGCCCAAGAGUUCAUAUCGACGGCGGUGUUUGGCACCUCGAUGUCGGCUCAUCACAUCCUGGGGCUGAAGUAGGUCCCAAGGGUAUGGCUGUUCGCCAUUUAAAGUGGUACGCGAGCUGGGUUUAGAACGUCGUGAGACAGUUCGGUCCCUAUCUGCCGUGGGCGCUGGAGAACUGAGGGGGGCUGCUCCUAGUACGAGAGGACCGGAGUGGACGCAUCACUGGUGUUCGGGUUGUCAUGCCAAUGGCACUGCCCGGUAGCUAAAUGCGGAAGAGAUAAGUGCUGAAAGCAUCUAAGCACGAAACUUGCCCCGAGAUGAGUUCUCCCUGAGACUUAGAGUCUCCUGAAGGAACGUUGAAGACGACGACGUUGAUAGGCCGGGUGUGUAAGCGCAGCGAUGCGUUGAGCUAACCGGUACUAAUGAACCGUGAG
RNAcentral lists this ribosomal RNA (1777 nucleotides) under Salmonella enterica subsp. enterica serovar Kentucky. RNAcentral's name for it is "partial 23S ribosomal RNA". It matches the Rfam family "Bacterial large subunit ribosomal RNA", at positions 1182 to 2915 of the family's 2925-position model. Lineage: Bacteria; Pseudomonadati; Pseudomonadota; Gammaproteobacteria; Enterobacterales; Enterobacteriaceae. The record is from RNAcentral.